UACGGAGGGUGCAAGCAUUAAUCGGAGUUAUUGGGCGUAAAGGGCGCGUAGGCGGAGAUAAAAGUCAGAUGUGAAAUCCCGGGGCUCAACCCCGGAACUGCAUUUGAAACUCUAUUUCUUGAGGUUAGACGGAGAAAGCGGAAUUCCACAAGUAGCGGUGAAAUGCGUAGAUAUGUGGAAGAACACCAGUGGCGAAGGCGGCUUUCUAGUUUAAAACUGACGCUGAGGCGCGAAAGCAAGGGUAGCAAACAGG
This 253-nucleotide unclassified non-coding RNA is filed under the name uncultured Parachlamydiaceae bacterium. Its description in RNAcentral is "contains 16S-23S intergenic spacer region". It matches the Rfam family "Bacterial small subunit ribosomal RNA", at positions 524 to 776 of the family's 1533-position model. The record is from RNAcentral. Lineage: Bacteria; Pseudomonadati; Chlamydiota; Chlamydiia; Parachlamydiales; Parachlamydiaceae.